ACGGGGGGGGCAAGCGUUGUUCGGAAUUACUGGGCGUAAAGGGUUCGUAGGUGGUCAACUAAGUCAUGCGUGAAAUCCCUCAGCUUAACUGGGGAACUGCGUCUGAUACUGGUUGACUUGAGUGCAGGAGAGGAACGCGGAAUUCCAGGUGUAGCGGUGAAAUGCGUAGAUAUCUGGAGGAACACCGGUGGCGAAGGCGGCGUUCUGGACUGUAACUGACACUGAGGAACGAAAGCCAGGGGAGCAAACGGGAUUAGAUACCCCGGUAGUCCUGGCCCUAAACGAUGAAUGCUUGGUGUGGCGGGUAUCGAUCCCUGCCGUGCCGAAGUUAACGCGAUAAGCAUUCCGCCUGGGGAGUACGGUCGCAAGGCUG
Molecule: ribosomal RNA, 373 nt
Filed under: uncultured bacterium
Lineage: Bacteria
Description: bacterial SSU rRNA
Rfam family: Bacterial small subunit ribosomal RNA
Source: RNAcentral